UACGGAGGGUGCGAGCGUUAUUCGGAAUUACUGGGCGUAAAGCGCGUGCAGGCGGGUGGACAAGUCUGAUGUGAAAGCCCCGGGCUCAACCUGGGAAGUGCAUUGGAAACUGUUCAUCUUGAGUGCUGGAGAGGAAGGGGGAAUUCCCGGUGUAGAGGUGAAAUUCGUAGAGAUCGGGAGGAAUACCAGUGGCGAAGGCGCCCUUCUGGACGGCAACUGACGCUGAGAAGCGAAAGCGUGGGGAGCAAACAGG
RNAcentral lists this ribosomal RNA (253 nucleotides) under uncultured bacterium. RNAcentral's name for it is "partial 16S ribosomal RNA". It matches the Rfam family "Bacterial small subunit ribosomal RNA", at positions 524 to 776 of the family's 1533-position model. The record is from RNAcentral.